UUGAAUCAUACUACACCGGCUCCGACACUCGACAGAUGUGGCAGGGCUCGCAAAACUAUUACAGACUACAAAGGGAAGCACAGCCACAAGCUGCACAGUGACACGAGCUAAAUUCCUUCUAUGCUCGCUUCGAGGCAAGAAACAAUGAAACAUGAAUGAGAUCAUCAGCUGUUCCGGAUGACUGUGUGACCACACUCUCCACAGCCGAUGUGAGAAAUACCUUUAUAAACUUUAUAAACAGGUCAAUAUUCACAAGGCCGCAUAGCCAGACGGGCGGCAGGGUAGCCUAGUGGUUAGAGCAUUGGUCUAGUAACCGGAAGGUUGCAAGUUCAAAUCCCUGAGCUGACAAGGUACAAAAUCUGUCGUUCUGCCCCUGAACAGGCAGUUAACCCACUGUUCCUAGGCCGUCAUUGAAAAUAAGAAUUUGUUCUUAACUGACUUGCCUAGUAAAAUAAAGGUGUAAUUACCAGGACGUGUACUCCGAGCAUGAGCUGAUCAAUCGGCAAGUGUCUUCACUGACAUUUUCAACUUGUUCCUGAUUGAGUCUGUAAUACAUGUUUCAAGCAGAUCACCAUAGUCCCCGUGCCCAAGAACACGAAGGUAACCUGCUGUCAAGGAUCCCUCCAGAACAGAUCACCAUAGUCCCUGUGCCCAAGAACACGAAGGUAACCUGCUGUCAAGGAUCCCUCCAGAACAGAUCACCAUAGUCCCUGUGCCCAAGAACACGAAGGUAACCUGCUGUCAAGGAUCCCUCCAGAACAGAUCACCAUAGUCCCCGUGCCCAAGAACACAAAGGUAACCUGCUGUCAAGGAUCCCUCCAGAACAGAUCACCAUAGUCCCCGUGCCCAAGAACACGAAGGUAACCUGCUGUCAAGGAUCCCUCCAGAACAGAUCACCAUAGUCCCCGUGCCCAAGAACACGAAGGUAACCUGCUGUCAAGGAUCCCUCCAGAACAGAUCACCAUAGUCCCCGUGCCCAAGAACACGAAGGUAACCUGCUGUCAAGGAUCCCUCCAGAACAGAUCACCAUAGUCCCCGUGCCCAAGAACACGAAGGUAACCUGCUGUCAAGGAUCCCUCCAGAACAGAUCACCAUAGUCCCCGUGCCCAAGAACACGAAGGUAACCUGCUGUCAAGGAUCCCUCCAGAACAGAUCACCAUAGUCCCCGUGCCCAAGAACACGAAGGUAACCUGCUGUCAAGGAUCCCUCCAGAACAGAUCACCAUAGUCCCCGUGCCCAAGAACACGAAGGUAACCUGCUGUCAAGGAUCCCUCCAGAACAGAUCACCAUAGUCCCCGUGCCCAAGAACACGAAGGUAACCUGCUGUCAAGGAUCCCUCCAGAACAGAUCACCAUAGUCCCCGUGCCCAAGAACACGAAGGUAACCUGCUGUCAAGGAUCCCUCCAGAACAGAUCACCAUAGUCCCCGUGCCCAAGAACACGAAGGUAACCUGCUGUCAAGGAUCCCUCCAGAACAGAUCACCAUAGUCCCCGUGCCCAAGAACACGAAGGUAACCUGCUGUCAAGGAUCCCUCCAGAACAGAUCACCAUAGUCCCCGUGCCCAAGAACACGAAGGUAACCUGCUGUCAAGGAUCCCUCCAGAACAGAUCACCAUAGUCCCUGUGCCCAAGAACACGAAGGUAACCUGCUGUCAAGGAUCCCUCCA
Molecule: long non-coding RNA, 1666 nt
Organism: Oncorhynchus keta (chum salmon)
Lineage: Eukaryota; Metazoa; Chordata; Actinopteri; Salmoniformes; Salmonidae
Exons: 4
Source: RefSeq, a predicted model, not a curated record